UAAGUUAAAAUACCAAUAUAUUUUCAAUUUUAAUUCUUACCCAACAAAAGUAAUAUUUUCACUUCUGAACCGAAUCUUUCUUCCACUCAAACGUAUUAUUUCCCAUUUUUAUUAUCAUCCUGUACUAAAAAAGAUUUUUGAGGCAAAUUCUAGAUAGAAUAAUAAGAAGACUCACAGCCUCCCCUCGAGAUCCGUAUAAUUCACGUAUCGUGUGCACUCCUUAAAUCACGCACUCCUCUCCAAGUCAUUCGGCCUGGUGAAUUCUCGGGAUCCGACCAAGAGCUUACAAUCGGACUUUUUCGCUUCAGGGACGUGGCGCUUUUUUUCCGCCGCGAGGAGGCGAGAUUUAAAUCUUUGGAUUAAAAGGGAACGGCAAGAAAUGCGGUCCAUGAUGGAAUUUGUUUUCCGGAGGGAGCUAAAUCGUGUGCAGAUUCCGCCGGCCUGUGUUACGACCUGAAACAAAUGUAAGCCAUUGGAUUACCGAAAAGCGGCGGUCGGACGAGCCACGAGGUGUUGGCUCGUGUUGAACCAACCACUCCUUACCCGUUAACUCCUUCUCCUACACGGAUGUACACUUGUCUGAACGAUUCCAGAAGAAUUUUACGUUUCCAAAUCGUUAAAGUUGGACGAAUCUCCGCUCCGUACAAGGAUUUAUGCGGGGGAGGAAAGAAGUAGGGCGCUCACAAUGCGAUCGUUUGUCACGGAGAGCUGUCGUCGGGGCGGUUUUUAUAUCCUCGCAUUGGCGACGACAACACGCGGCUCAACUCGUGGGGUGGAAGGGGAGGGAAACGGAGUUAACGACGGAAACUUAGUCGAUUCCUUGCGUGAAACCUGUGCAUUCUACGGGAUAUCCCCCGUUUGACUAAUACGAUACAGGGAUUCUAAGAUUUAUGGGAUGUCUGGUCGACGGAUCAUCCGAUCGAGCGAAGAGCGACCAUCUGGAUUGGAAAAUGGAUUUCGCAGAAGGUAACUUUCUUCCCUUUUUUUUGUAUUUUCAGUAUUAAAUUCAAUAAAUACUUGAUGUUAUAUUUUUAGAUAUUUUAUUUUACAUUUUUGUGUCGCAAAUAUUUUAUCCUCUAACGUUUAUGUAAUUUAUUUUAGCGAACUUUCAAGCUGAUAACCUUUCACAAUAUGGA
Molecule: long non-coding RNA, 1136 nt
Organism: Apis laboriosa (Himalayan honeybee)
Lineage: Eukaryota; Metazoa; Arthropoda; Insecta; Hymenoptera; Apidae
Exons: 3
Source: RefSeq, a predicted model, not a curated record